CACAUUGAUUAUGUAGACAAAGAUGAAACCCUGAACAAUAAACCACAGAACUUCCACAAUCCAGCCCCUAUAUCAUUCCAGCCUACAAGUUUUCACCCACAGUGAAGCAGAAGUGUGAUUUCUGCUCAGACACCGUCAUUUACAGAGUCCAUUUGUCAGCUAUGAAUUCGACUUCAUUGAUGAGACUCCUGUUUCUUCAUUAAACGGGCACUUGUUCCUGGCUGAGGUGGGAGAGGAGGGCUGUUACGUCAGCUCUGAGAGCACCAGCGACAGUGACUGAAUACAGCAGAUCACAGUAGUGCUACAGUACAUUAAUUGAGAAUAUCCGGCUCUACUAAAAUUUCAUUGUCCAAGUAACAAUAAUAAUGAUAAUAAUAAUAAAUUCUUUUAUUUUCAGUAUGUUGGGGUUAUGAGUCCCACAGCCAUGUCUUUUGAAUGGCUUUCUUGAGUUAUGCUAGUUUUGUUAAUAAAAUCUCGUUUUGUGAACGUCAACCUUGUUGUGAAGCACUGAUUGACUGCAGUGCAUAUAGUGUGAAGUGUUUUUGUUUGUUUUCUCAUAUGAAUAUUUCAUUAUUGUAGAUUUCAUAAAUUGUUACUACACAUUGUGUAACAAAAAUAUAUAAAUUACCAUCCAUGUUCUUUAUGAAGCAAUAAAGUG
Cyprinus carpio carpio is the source of this 658-nucleotide long non-coding RNA. The record is from Ensembl. Lineage: Eukaryota; Metazoa; Chordata; Actinopteri; Cypriniformes; Cyprinidae.